RNAcentral lists this long non-coding RNA (835 nucleotides) under Olea europaea subsp. europaea. Lineage: Eukaryota; Viridiplantae; Streptophyta; Magnoliopsida; Lamiales; Oleaceae. The record is from RNAcentral.
CCCAAUUAAUACCUGACCCAUAAGAAAACUCUCAAUUUAACAAAAAAAUGUUUUCCUUGCCCUACAUCUCAAAACUGCUCUGUCUCAUUCUUCUUCUUUGGGACUCUGCCUCUUCGUUAUCUUCAUCUUCAUUUCAUUCAUUACGUUAGAUUUCGUCCGACGGUGAAGCCUGGAAGUUGCAGAUUUUUUCUUUUUCUUUUUUUUUUCUUUUAAAAAAAAAAAAAAAUCAGCCUCUCGAACCAGCGGGCAGUAACUGGCGGUAUACCUUCGGCAAUCGGUGAUCAGCUGCUGCAAAACUCUCAACAGGUGUUAAUCAGAUGCAUUUUAUGCUGUAUUAUGCAUUUUAUUGAUGUAUUCGAUUUGCCUGGACCACCACAUGUUUUCACGAAACAAAGAUGAAUUUCUCUAAUUUUAUACAAAACCAAACCACCACUUGUUUUCACAGAAAAGAUUUAAUUUCUCUAAUUUUGUACAGAUUUAAAAUCGACAAUGUGGUUUUUCUUGAUUUAUACAAUUUCUUUUUGUUGAUGGACCGAAGAACUUGAGGUAUUUUUGGAAAUGGCUUCUUUUUGUUGAUGGAUUUUGUAGCCCAGAGAUUUCUGUUCAAUGGGUAUGCAUGUGGUUUUCUUGAUUUUUUUGUAGUUCAUCUGAAUGUUUACAAGAUUUGACAAAGUCUUCAUUCUGGGUUCUGACCUUGAUGUUGAUAUGAGGCUAGUUUUGUUUUUAAGGGAUUCUAAAUCUUUUUAUCUGUUUGAUUGGUUGACGUUAAUGGUUUUAAGAAAUUGUGUAGUUGACAAUUUAUUAUUGUCCUCUCAUAUAUGUGUGUGUGUUUAUA